RNAcentral lists this ribosomal RNA (1167 nucleotides) under Salmonella enterica subsp. enterica serovar Agona. RNAcentral describes it as "partial 23S ribosomal RNA". It matches the Rfam family "Bacterial large subunit ribosomal RNA", at positions 528 to 1693 of the family's 2925-position model. The record is from RNAcentral. Lineage: Bacteria; Pseudomonadati; Pseudomonadota; Gammaproteobacteria; Enterobacterales; Enterobacteriaceae.
GGCGAGGGGAGUGAAAAAGAACCUGAAACCGUGUACGUACAAGCAGUGGGAGCACAGGUUUACCUGUGUGACUGCGUACCUUUUGUAUAAUGGGUCAGCGACUUAUAUUCUGUAGCAAGGUUAACCGAAUAGGGGAGCCGGAGGGAAACCGAGUCUUAAUUGGGCGUUAAGUUGCAGGGUAUAGACCCGAAACCCGGUGAUCUAGCCAUGGGCAGGUUGAAGGUUGGGUAACACUAACUGGAGGACCGAACCGACUAAUGUUGAAAAAUUAGCGGAUGACCUGUGGCUGGGGGUGAAAGGCCAAUCAAACCGGGAGAUAGCUGGUUCUCCCCGAAAGCUAUUUAGGUAGCGCCUCGUGAAUUCAUCUCCGGGGGUAGAGCACUGUUUCGGCUAGGGGGCCAUCCCGGCUUACCAACCCGAUGCAAACUGCGAAUACCGGAGAAUGUUAUCACGGGAGACACACGGCGGGUGCUAACGUCCGUCGUGAAGAGGGAAACAACCCAGACCGCCAGCUAAGGUCCCAAAGUCAUGGUUAAGUGGGAAACGAUGUGGGAAGGCCCAGACAGCCAGGAUGUUGGCUUAGAAGCAGCCAUCAUUUAAAGAAAGCGUAAUAGCUCACUGGUCGAGUCGGCCUGCGCGGAAGAUGUAACGGGGCUAAACCAUGCACCGAAGCUGCGGCAGCGACACUCAGGUGUUGUUGGGUAGGGGAGCGUUCUGUAAGCCUGCGAAGGUGGCCUGUGAGGGUUGCUGGAGGUAUCAGAAGUGCGAAUGCUGACAUAAGUAACGAUAAAGCGGGUGAAAAGCCCGCUCGCCGGAAGACCAAGGGUUCCUGUCCAACGUUAAUCGGGGCAGGGUGAGUCGACCCCUAAGGCGAGGCCGAAAGGCGUAGUCGAUGGGAAACGGGUUAAUAUUCCCGUACUUGGUGUUACUGCGAAGGGGGGACGGAGAAGGCUAUGUUGGCCGGGCGACGGUUGUCCCGGUUUAAGCGUGUAGGUGUGUGUUCCAGGUAAAUCCGGUUCACUUUAACACUGAGGCGUGACGACGAGGCACUACGGUGCUGAAGCAACAAAUGCCCUGCUUCCAGGAAAAGCCUCUAAGCAUCAGGUAACAUCAAAUCGUACCCCAAACCGACACAGGUGGUCAGGUAGAGAAUACCAAGGCGCUUGA